This 3404-nucleotide unclassified non-coding RNA is filed under the name Leishmania donovani. RNAcentral describes it as "gene:LdHU3.06.0890(CDS-product:serine-threonine_d ehydratase_putative)". Lineage: Eukaryota; Euglenozoa; Kinetoplastea; Trypanosomatida; Trypanosomatidae. The record is from RNAcentral.
CAGGUGAAGCCACAUUCUUCGACUGCCCCCCCUCUCUCUCUUGCUCUCUCUCUCUCCGCGCGAUCAGCGCCACUCUGCCUUCUCUCUGUUUUUCUUUUCAGUUUUAGCUGCCGAACGCCCAUUCCUUCACGACCUCCCCCCACCCCUCCACGGCAUCCGACACGUCUUGCCUAGACCCCUCACCCUCUCCGCCCUCCUCUCAGGUGUAGCCGAGACAGGAUCAACGAAUCCUGAGGAGGUCUGCGCAACGCCUUUUCUCUAAAGCCUUAUAUAUACACCCACGCACAGCCACAGAGACGCGCGGGCUUGCUGCCUUUCCACCUUCUUUCCGCCGCCGCCGCCUCUGUGUUUUUCCCUCGCCAGCACACGUGCGUCUCGCUCGCUCACUCGCGCCGUCUCUGAUCUCGUGAGCGCUCGCGUGGAUGUGUGUGUCUCUGCAGUCGGCCGCGCAAACCUGCUGCUGCUGCUGCUACGCGUGGAUCGCACUCUUGGCGUGCCUGUGGUCGUCUUGAAGGGCGCUGCUUGCUUCCCACUGCUUUCGCUCGUCGUGUUGUGGGCCCGUAAGCAGAAUAACCGUGCGUCACCAGCGAUUCGCUCGCACGCACUCGACCAUCUGCAGCCCUUUUCCCCAACGGUUAGACGUACCCCGCACUCUACCCAGCUCUUCACGCGGAAGGGCCUCGAGGAGACAGUAUGCCGACCUUUAGCGACAUCAUGGCGGCGCGCAAGGCGCUGGACGGCUACGUUUAUGAGACGCCGAUCAUCGAGAGCAACGCCCUGCAUGGCAAGACGCGGCACGAGAGUGUCCUGCUCAAGUGCGAGAACCUGCAGCGCACCGGCAGCUACCACGUCCGCGGCAUGACGUACCGCGUGAUACGCGCCAAGGAGGAAGAUCUGGGCAUCAACAAUUUUGUUACCCACAGCAGCGGCAACGGCGGUGCAGCGCUGGCGUGCGCGGCGAGCAACUUCCAGAGCACGGCGCACGUCGUCGUGCCGGAGGACACAAACGCCCUCAUCACGCGCAGCAUUCGCCUCUACCACGGCAACUUCUACUACUGCAAGCCGGACCUGAAGAGCCGUGUCGAGAUGGAGGCGCGGCUCCACGCGGAGUUCAACAAGGUGGCUGGCAAGAAGCGCAACCAGUGCAUGCUCGUGAACCCCUACAGCGACGAGGCCAUCAUCGCCGGCCACGGCACGACCGGCAUCGAGAUUAUGCUCCAGACAGACUGCUCGGUGGACUGCGUUGUUAUCCCGGUCGGCGGUGGCGCACUGCUAGCGGGGGCGGCGAUCGCCGUGAAGGGCAUGAAGCCGCAUGUCGGCGUCUUUGCGGCCGAGCUGGCUGUGCCGCCGGAUCACUACACGGUUUUCAAGCGCGGCGAGGUCAUCGAGGCACGCAAGCUCAAGGGCGAUGAGAAGCGCCCCAAGGGCAACAAGCACGGCAUCCGAACGGAGCUGACGGACCUUGCGAACAGUUACAUUGACCGCUACGUCGACGGCGUCGUGCACGUGUCGAAGGAGGAGAUGUGCUACGCCUUCCGCUAUGUGUACGAACGUUGCAAACUCGUCGUGGACACGAAUGCUGCCAUCGCCGUGGCGGCGGUGCUGGCCUGCCCCCAGGAGCUGAGCAACUACCGCCGCAUCUGCAUUGUGCUUUCAGGGGGUAACGUGGACCUCAACGAUGUGCCGAAGAUUGCGACGGCGCGGCUGUGAGGUGUGUGUGCGUGGGUGUGUCAGAUGCCUGUAGCAGGCCUUUGCGCGUGAUCGCGCUCACGCUUGUUCCUCGUGCAGCGGCGGCGAUUGUAUCAGCGCCGCUUCUCUUUCUUGUUUCACCUCCCAGUGCCUGUGUGCGCGGCUGCUCAAGUCGUUGAAACAGCCGCACGGAUACACACACACACACACACACACACGCACACGCACGCACGCACGCACGCACGCACGCACCCAAGCAAUCUCCUCUUUUCGCCCUCGCCCUACCAUUCAAUCCGCUCACACCAGCACGCCGACUGGAACAAGCAGGGAGAGAGGAGGAGGGGGUGUUGAGAGCAAGGGAGGGAGCGCGCUGUGAGCGCAUCGGUGCAGCCGUUUGGGCGCGUCUCGCUCUCGCUCCAGACGCCUGUGCGUGUGUGCCAUGUGCGCGUGUGUGUGUGUGCCGGCGUCAAGACUGCGGAGAAGGACGAGUUCACACGCAUCAACGGCGGCAAAGGCUUAAAAGAAGUUAUGUAUACACAUAUAGCAACUUGUCAACUCUUUUACAGAGCAUGAGUUCAGUUUCACUCGACCCCACCGGGCCUGUCACAGGUGUCCGAUCGCGUGGUGCGGAGCAGCCCUAGACACACACGCGCUGUAGAAGUGCGCCAGCCCAGUCACCUUAGCACGGCCUCUGCCUCGAACCCUGCCCACAUGCCCGCCGCGCAGGUCGCUCCGACGCCGCACUAUCCAGGUCGUGACCGCUGACAUCCGCAGCGAUACAUCGCGCUGACCUCCCCCACGUCGUGGGCGCUCGACCUUGCCACCGCCAGAAGUGUUUGUGCCUUGGGUAGGGAUAGGGCGGAAGCGGGGGGGUGCUGGACCCUAAGACAUCACGCACUGAGAGGCGUGUGCGUGUGUGUGCGGGUGGCCUCCCCCCUCCCCCCGCCCCCACCCCACGUCAUCGAAGACGCCUCUGAGAAGGAAGGAACGAAGUGAGGCUGCAGUAGAAGACUCCUCCUUCCGCUGCUUUCCCCGAUUUUUCACUCGCUUCACCGUCCGCCAUUGCGCCUUGAUAGCGCAGCAGACGUCUGCCGGCCGAUCCGUGCCAGCGCAGGGCAUCUUGGCAUGAGACGCAGGACGCUGCUCGAUGCAUUGAGGCUUGUGGCGAGCCACCUGCUGUUUGCGGAGUACCCUGAUCAACCUCUCCGACUCUUGUCUGUUCCUUCAUUUGUUUCUGCUGCCUGUUAAGUGUUCGUUGUCCCGACCUCCUCUUCUUCCUCUUUCUUCCUCGCCAUCCUCACGCGUCCUCGCCGUUGUUGUGUUGCACGCUCACACGUGCAGGCGCACAUAUACGCGUACACACAAAUACAUACAUAUACGAGUGAGCGUGAGUCACCGAGCUGGCAUAUGUGUGUGCGUGUGCCUGUGCGUGUGUGUUCUGUACUCUUCUGCGGCUGCUGCAGGACCUCUUCCUCCCUCUCCCUUCUUCCACCCCGUCCCCUCGCAUCACAAGUCGGUUAUGUCUGCGUAGGACGAGCAAGACGCGAAACGCAGCGAAGCGGCGGCACUUUCGAGUUAGAACGUUAUCUUGUUUCUUGUUGGUGCCUCCCUGCCGCUCAUGCUGGAGGGGGGCUUGUCCAUUGAUACAUAACAAGCUAACGCAACUCGAUGACGAGGCACUGAGAGAAUGUGAGCGAGGGCCGACGCCGACGCCG